This 700-nucleotide ribosomal RNA is filed under the name Salmonella enterica subsp. enterica serovar Typhimurium. RNAcentral describes it as "bacterial SSU rRNA". It matches the Rfam family "Bacterial small subunit ribosomal RNA", at positions 843 to 1533 of the family's 1533-position model. Lineage: Bacteria; Pseudomonadati; Pseudomonadota; Gammaproteobacteria; Enterobacterales; Enterobacteriaceae. The record is from RNAcentral.
CUUCCGGAGCUAACGCGUUAAGUAGACCGCCUGGGGAGUACGGCCGCAAGGUUAAAACUCAAAUGAAUUGACGGGGGCCCGCACAAGCGGUGGAGCAUGUGGUUUAAUUCGAUGCAACGCGAAGAACCUUACCUGGUCUUGACAUCCACAGAACUUUCCAGAGAUGGAUUGGUGCCUUCGGGAACUGUGAGACAGGUGCUGCAUGGCUGUCGUCAGCUCGUGUUGUGAAAUGUUGGGUUAAGUCCCGCAACGAGCGCAACCCUUAUCCUUUGUUGCCAGCGAUUAGGUCGGGAACUCAAAGGAGACUGCCAGUGAUAAACUGGAGGAAGGUGGGGAUGACGUCAAGUCAUCAUGGCCCUUACGACCAGGGCUACACACGUGCUACAAUGGCGCAUACAAAGAGAAGCGACCUCGCGAGAGCAAGCGGACCUCAUAAAGUGCGUCGUAGUCCGGAUUGGAGUCUGCAACUCGACUCCAUGAAGUCGGAAUCGCUAGUAAUCGUGGAUCAGAAUGCCACGGUGAAUACGUUCCCGGGCCUUGUACACACCGCCCGUCACACCAUGGGAGUGGGUUGCAAAAGAAGUAGGUAGCUUAACCUUCGGGAGGGCGCUUACCACUUUGUGAUUCAUGACUGGGGUGAAGUCGUAACAAGGUAACCGUAGGGGAACCUGCGGUUGGAUCACCUCCUUACCUUAAAGAA